GCCAUUCUGGAGCCCUGCUUCUUCUGCAGAACAUGAGUACUGGCAUUUCUGGCUCAGAAAGAUUCCCCUGAAUCCAGUGAGACGCGGUGCAGUGCCUGCGUGGAGACAAUCCAUGGACACAGACAGAGCCAGUUCCACCUUGAUACAGCCUGGUCCCUCUAUGGACAGGAGAUUGAAGGACUGCAUGGACAGAAGCUGAGCUGGUGCACAUGAGAAGCAGGAAGAGCAAACUGUAGCAUCUCAAAUACUGGGCAGAGGACCUAUGAUGGAACUGAAGCUGUGGAACAACUAGGACAGCCUCUACAGGUUUGUCUUCCUUCUCACUCUUCUUC
Molecule: long non-coding RNA, 332 nt
Filed under: Phasianus colchicus (ring-necked pheasant)
Lineage: Eukaryota; Metazoa; Chordata; Aves; Galliformes; Phasianidae
Description: lncRNA (ENSPCLG00000000654.1)
Source: RNAcentral